RNAcentral lists this long non-coding RNA (1951 nucleotides) under Homo sapiens (human). Its description in RNAcentral is "HSALNT0180263". The record is from RNAcentral. Lineage: Eukaryota; Metazoa; Chordata; Mammalia; Primates; Hominidae.
GAUGAACCAGCCUCACGUCCUGGCGCUCUUCACCCCACUUGCCCAUUCACCCCUACCUUGUGCCAGUCCCCAAAUUAGGCCAGUGGCUCCAUCCCAAGUCAGUCCCCCUACAACUCUUUGCUAUCCCCCUACACGUGUAGUCAAUUUACAAAUGGCACUUUCCUGAAGGAGGAGUCAUUUUCGUACAUUCCAAGAAGUUUCUGCUCCCUGGGGGCCUCUGGGUCAGUGGAGGGCAUGAACUCAUCACCAUCCUGACACUGUUCUUAUCCAAGGGUUUCUAUCUGUGGCCAUCCUCUCUCUGCCUCUGCUUGGCCAAAGGCAAGCACCAGGAAGUAACCCUACCACACAGUUCUAUACUAUCUCACUUUAUCAUUUAAGCCCAGAAUAAAAUCAUAACUUGGUAUAACCAUUCAAUAUCCAUUUGACUUCUGCCUUUUUUUUGCAUGGGGGGUAGGGCUUCAGCACUUUUUAUUUGCUAAUGAGAUUAGGCACUCAGUAAAUGUUUGUUGAAUAAGUAGAUCCCCGGAUAUACAAUGUGGAGGGUAGGUUUUCAGGAGGAAGGUUCAGAUGAGAGGGUGAGGGGGUCCAGUACCAUUCUCCGAGUUAGAAAGGACAGGAAUAAAAAGUAGGUUUGGAUAUGGAAAUGAUGAAAUCAGUUUACAGCAUUUGGGAUUUGCAAUGACCCUGGGAUGUCCAAAACAAGCAAAAAGCCUAGCAAUUAGCCUUGAGAGGUGACUCCAAAGAGGGCUGACCUUUUCCAGGACACCAUUGCAUAAUGUCCCUGGAUAAUAACCACAUUUCCUACUGUGAACUUAAUCACAACUUAGGGGAAAACCUAUUAGCGUUAUUCAGUAAUGAAGGGAAGCAUUUCCUGCUACUUGCUGAUAGGUGAGAGUAGGUGACAGCCCAGAAGGAUGAAAAGAGGAAUCCUAUGCUGAAGAAAAGAUAGAAAUAAAACAUUUUAUGAUCUUAUGAUCAUAUUAUCCAAUAACAAUAGACUAUAUUUUUAGCUAAUCUUUGAACCACCUCCUUCUCACAAAGUUCUAAACAGGAAACAAAAUGCAACAUUUCCAAAAUCUUGGCUCGAUUUAAUAUUGGCAUCAUAUGACUUUGACAUUAGGGGCAAAGGAAGUAGAAUGAGAUGCAGGGAGGACUUUACAACAAUUUCAUUAAAUGGUUCAAAAGACUUCCUUUGGCAUUAAUCAAUUGUUUCAAGACAAUAAUUUGAUGACUUAAGAAUAAGUAAAUCAAAAGCAUAUGUAUCAAAUUUUCCUUGAAGUAUGCUAGGGUUCUAAAGUAAGGAAAACAGCAUUUGGCAAAAUUCAAUCUGCCUUUGCCAAACCUAAAGUGUUUGAAAAAAUAAUUUGAGAGGUUUUGCCAAACCCCACAUGCCUCUGUGUUCUUCCAUCCCACCCAGAUCUCCAAAAGUGCAAAACUCAUACAUCUACUCAGCAUUCCAAAUGACAGAUUCCAUCUCUGGAUUGGCAGGCACACUUGUUAUCUAUUGCUGUAGAACAAAUUACCCCAAAAUUUAGUGACUUAAAAAAAAACAUUAUUUCACAGUUUCUCGGGGUCAGGAAUUUGAGAGCAACUUAACUGUGGGGUUCUGUAUCAGAACCUCUCAUGAGGUUGCAGCCAAGAUGUUGGUCAGAGCUGCAGUUAUCUGAAGGCUUGACUGCAACUGGAAGAUCUGCUUCCAAGGUGGCUCAGUCACAUGUUGACAGGAGGCCUCAGAUGCUUGCUGGCUGUUGGCAUGUGAGCUCUGUUCCUUGCCAUGUGGACCCCUCCAUAGGCUGCUUGAGUGUCCUCAUGACUCAAGAACCAGUGAUCUAAACACAACGCCUGGAUCUGUGAUGUCUUGUUAUUAUCCUUUAUGCCCAUUUCAAACUGCUGAGAUUCUGGCACUAGUUUUCUUCUACAAAUUAGGCAUCUACUUCAUAGGCCCUACUGA